UACAGAGGUCCCAAGCGUUGUUCGGAUUCAUUGGGCGUAAAGGGUGCGUAGGUGGCGCCGUAAGUGGGGUGUGAAAUUUCGGAGCUUAACUCCGAAACUGCAUUCCAUACUGCGGUGCUUGAGGACUGGAGAGGAGACUGGAAUUCAUGGUGUAGCAGUGAAAUGCGUAGAGAUCAUGAGGAAGACCAGUGGCGAAGGCGGGUCUCUGGACAGUUCCUGACGCUGAGGCACGAAGGCCAGGGGAGCAAACGGG
RNAcentral lists this ribosomal RNA (253 nucleotides) under uncultured bacterium. RNAcentral describes it as "partial 16S ribosomal RNA". It matches the Rfam family "Bacterial small subunit ribosomal RNA", at positions 524 to 776 of the family's 1533-position model. The record is from RNAcentral.